Molecule: ribosomal RNA, 539 nt
Filed under: Prevotella sp.
Lineage: Bacteria; Pseudomonadati; Bacteroidota; Bacteroidia; Bacteroidales; Prevotellaceae
Description: partial 23S ribosomal RNA
Rfam family: Bacterial large subunit ribosomal RNA
Source: RNAcentral
AGAUGGAGGUGAGAAUCCUCCAGGCCGAAUAUCUAAGGUUUCCAGGGUAAAGCUGAUCUGCCCUGGGUAAGUCGGGGCCUAAGGCGAGGCGGAGACGCGUAGUCGAUGGACAACUGGUGUAGAUUCCAGUACCUUACUAAAUCAGAAAUGUGGGGACACAUGGAGAAAGAGAGAGCCGGGAAUGAGAAGACCGGUGCAAGGGAGGUAGGAGUGUAGUAGGAAAAACCGCUAUACAAUCUGAAGACNNNNNNNNNNGAAAUAAAGUAGAGAAGCUCUUUAACUCUGUGGCGAGAAAAGCCGCUAUAGUGUUUAGUAAGCCCGUACCGCAAACCGACACAGGUAGAUGAGGAGAGAAUCCUAAGGCCGGCGGGAGAAGCAUUGUUAAGGAACUCGGCAAAAUGACCCCGUAACUUCGGGAGAAGGGGUGCCCAGGCAACUGGGCCGCAGAGAAAAGGCUCAAGCAACUGUUUAGCAAAAACACAGGUCUAUGCGAAACCGUAAGGUAAAGUAUAUGGGCUGACGCCUGCCCGGUGCUGGAA